Bison bison bison is the source of this 106-nucleotide small nuclear RNA. The record is from Ensembl. NCBI's taxonomy places the organism in Eukaryota, Metazoa, Chordata, Mammalia, Artiodactyla, Bovidae.
AGUGCUCACUUCAGCAAUACAUACUAAAGCUGGAAUGAUACAGAGAAGAUUAGCAUGGCCCUUGCACAAGGAUGACACGCAAAUUCAUGGAGUGUUCCAUGUUUUU